GGGCGGAUGGCGGAAUUGGUAGACGCACCGCACUCAAAAUGCGGCGCCGAAAGGCUUGCGAGUUCGAGUCUCGCCCCGCCCA
Molecule: transfer RNA, 82 nt
Filed under: Stenomitos frigidus ULC18
Lineage: Bacteria; Bacillati; Cyanobacteriota; Cyanophyceae; Leptolyngbyales; Leptolyngbyaceae
Also listed under: 8 other names
Rfam family: tRNA
About the family: Transfer RNA (tRNA) molecules are approximately 80 nucleotides in length.
Source: Rfam by way of RNAcentral